AUGUCACAUUCCAUAAAAAAUUACGAUACAUGUAUAGGAUGCACUCAAUGUGUACGAGCUUGUCCAACAGAUGUAUUAGAAAUGAUACCCUGGGAUGGAUGUAAAGCCAAGCAAAUUGCUUCUGCGCCGAGAACCGAAGAUUGUGUGGGUUGUAAGAGAUGUGAAUCUGCCUGCCCGCCAGACUUUUAA
RNAcentral lists this ribosomal RNA (189 nucleotides) under Triticum aestivum (bread wheat). RNAcentral's name for it is "partial small subunit ribosomal RNA". Lineage: Eukaryota; Viridiplantae; Streptophyta; Magnoliopsida; Poales; Poaceae. The record is from RNAcentral.